AAAGACCCCGUGAACCUUUACUAUAGCUUGACACUGAACAUUGAGCCUUGAUGUGUAGGAUAGGUGGGAGGCUUUGAAGCGUGGACGCCAGUCUGCGUGGAGCCGACCUUGAAAUACCACCCUUUAAUGUUUGAUGUUCUAACGUGGACCCGUAAUCCGGGUUGCGGACAGUGUCUGGUGGGUAGUUUGACUGGGGCGGUCUCCUCCUAAAGAGUAACGGAGGAGCACGAAGGUUGGCUAAUCCUGGUCGGACAUCAGGAGGUUAGUGCAAUGGCAUAAGCCAGCUUGACUGCGAGCGUGACGGCGCGAGCAGGUGCGAAAGCAGGUCAUAGUGAUCCGGUGGUUCUGAAUGGAAGGGCCAUCGCUCAACGGAUAAAAGGUACUCCGGGGAUAACAGGCUGAUACCGCCCAAGAGUUCAUAUCGACGGCGGUGUUUGGCACCUCGAUGUCGGCUCAUCACAUCCUGGGGCUGAAGUAGGUCCCAAGGGUAUGGCUGUUCGCCAUUUAAAGUGGUACGCGAGCUGGGUUUAGAACGUCGUGAGACAGUUCGGUCCCUAUCUGCCGUGGGCGCUGGAGAACUGAGGGGGGCUGCUCCUAGUACGAGAGGACCGGAGUGGACGCAUCACUGGUGUUCGGGUUGUCAUGCCAAUGGCACUGCCCGGUAGCUAAAUGCGGAAGAGAUAAGUGCUGAAAGCAUCUAAGCACGAAACUUGCCCCGA
Molecule: ribosomal RNA, 719 nt
Filed under: Salmonella enterica subsp. enterica serovar Infantis
Lineage: Bacteria; Pseudomonadati; Pseudomonadota; Gammaproteobacteria; Enterobacterales; Enterobacteriaceae
Also listed under: 3 other names
Description: partial 23S ribosomal RNA
Rfam family: Bacterial large subunit ribosomal RNA
Source: RNAcentral